AAUCAACGCUGGCGGCGUGCCUAACACCUGCAAGUCGAACGAGAAAGUGGAGCAAUCCAUGAGUAAAGUGGCGCACGGGUGAGUAACACGUGACUAACCUACCCUGGAGUGGGGGAUAACUGAGGGAAACCUUAGCUAAUACCGCAUAAUACCCACGGGUCAAAGGAGCAAUUCGCUUCAGGAGGGGGUCGCGGCCGAUUAGUUAGUUGGCGGGGUAAUGGCCCACCAAGACAGUGAUCGGUAUCCGGCCUGAGAGGGCGCACGGACACACUGGAGCUGAAACACGGUCCAGACUCCUACGGGAGGCAGCAGUGGGGAAUUUUGCGCAAUGGGGGAAACCCUGACGCAGCAACGCCGCGUGGAGGAUGAAGUACUUCGGUACGUAAAACUCCUUUCGAUCGGGACGAUUAUGACGGUACCGGAAGAAGAAGCCCCGGCU
This 439-nucleotide ribosomal RNA is filed under the name uncultured bacterium. RNAcentral describes it as "bacterial SSU rRNA". It matches the Rfam family "Bacterial small subunit ribosomal RNA", at positions 32 to 498 of the family's 1533-position model. The record is from RNAcentral.